GACGUAGGGGGCUAGCGUUGUCCGGAAUCAUUGGGCGUAAAGAGCGUGUAGGCGGCUCGGUAAGUCCGCUGUGAAAGUCCAGGGCUCAACCCUGGAAUGCCAGUGGAAACUGUCGAGCUAGAGUCCGGAAGAGGCGAGUGGAAUUCCUGGUGUAGCGGUGAAAUGCGCAGAUAUCAGGAGGAACACCAAUGGCGAAGGCAGCUCGCUGGGACGGUACUGACGCUGAGACGCGAAAGCGUGGGGAGCAAACAGG
This 253-nucleotide ribosomal RNA is filed under the name uncultured bacterium. RNAcentral's name for it is "partial 16S ribosomal RNA". It matches the Rfam family "Bacterial small subunit ribosomal RNA", at positions 524 to 776 of the family's 1533-position model. The record is from RNAcentral.